Podarcis lilfordi (Lilford's wall lizard) is the source of this 3760-nucleotide non-coding RNA. The record is from the annotation of a GenBank genome assembly. Lineage: Eukaryota; Metazoa; Chordata; Lepidosauria; Squamata; Lacertidae.
GGGGAGUAUUCUACAACUGGGGCGCUAUCAGUUUUGUGUAAGUUGAGACAGGGGAUUUGUUUGGCCUGACAGGCCAGAUGCUAAUCUUCAGCCACCUCCACAGGCCAACUCUGACAGGUGGGCAGGACAACCCACCUAUCAAUCAUCUGAUGUCAUAAUGAUGUUGCUAGGCUCUCUGGACAACAGAUUUGCAAGCCCUGUGCCAGGUGGUGGCCAUCUGCCUUUUAAAAGGUGAUUUGACCAUGGAUCAAUCAAUGCCUAAAAGCCUUGAUAGCUGAAUAAUGAUCUCCCCCUCUCCCUGCUGGGCACCUCAGGAUAUCCAUGUCAGCAUAGAAACUUGGGAAGAUGCCCUACCACUAACCUACUACCAUUCCCCCAUAUCAUGGCUGGCUAGUGCACAAGUGGGCAUAAUGGGAUGCUGAGGCAGUUAGGAACAGCAUAGUGCUGAACCAAUAUUUUUGGCCAUCCCCUCACCCCACCCCCAGACACUGGGUGGGGGGAGGGGUGAAAGCAGAAAGCUGACAAGAGUCAGGCAAAAUUUAUUGAAGUUUCCAGUAACUUCUCAGAAUACCAGAAGCAAGAAAUGUGCCCAAAACUUCCUUAUUUACUUAUUUUAUUGCAUUUAUAUCCCAUCUUUUCCUUCAUGGAGUUCAAGGUGGUGUACAUGGUUCUGUGAGGUAGGUUAGACUGAGAGUGAGUGUGAUGGCUUGUGAAUUCUUUCCACAAGAAAUGCCUCUGCUCACUCAGAGAUACAUAUAUACAGUCUUUAUUUUACAUAUGUACAAGCAGCACGUUACAAUCAUGCAUCCGAAUCCUCCGGCUCAGAUUCUGGGAGUGCCUUAUGCCUGCCCCUUCUCCAACAGAAAAGGCGUGGAAUUUUCAUGUGAUGUCUCUGUCCCCUCCUCUUUAACACUCUCCUUUCCUUGGCAGACGGAACAGGCAUUGUUUCACUGUCCGUGCCAGAACUUCCUGUGUGGUGUUGAGGCUCUGGUCCAACAUCUGUGAGCUGUCCCUCCUCCUGGCUUUCCCUUCUUUCCUCCACCGCCACUUCCUGCCCCCCUUCCUCUGCCUGUCUCUGCUCCUCCCCUUCAUUCUCUAGCAAUACCAUGACAGUGGGUGACUGGCCCAAGGUCACGCAGUGAGCUUCAUGACCAUGGAGAUUCAAACCCUGGUCUCCCAGGUCCUGGUCUGACCACUCUAACCACUACACCAUACUGGACUUCAUGAAAGUCACAUGAAUGUGCCUCCCCAAAAGCAGGGGCAGGUAAUCCCCUGAAAAGAAGGUAUUCAGUUCACUGUCAGGAAAUUACAAAUGAGAGAGAUGAAGGGGCUGUGUAAGAGCAGACCAUAAAAACUGCUGUCUUGCCCAGCCAAGCCAAACUCCUAUGGCUUCAGCACUUAUCCCAGGCUAGUCAAAUCUUGAACACUAUUACUGCAAAACUUUAAGGGAUGGUGAUAAUGUAAGUCCACUGUGAGCAUAAAUCUGAAGAUGGGUGCUGCUGCUUCCACUCCUUAGUGGUUCACUAGUAGAAACAGGGAUGUUGUAAUAAAAGCUAUCGUAAUUCUAUACUAACUAGCAUGAUCUUACGAUCUGAAUCAAAUAUGUCAGAUUUCUUGUGGUAUAUAAAUUGAAAUCAUCAUCAUCAGUGCAUCCUGGAACACUGUACUGUGUUUUCAGGUUUUCCUUGAUAAUGUUGUUAGGUUUGUUAUUCCCUGCAAAGAAUAAUUUAUGUUAAAGCUGUUUUUAGUCUGUCCACAGAGCAGUCCAUUUGAAAAUUAAAGGAAAAGCCCAUAAAGAGAGGCAUCAACUAAGUACAGCUAGCCUUGCAAGAAAUUGCCUGGCCAUCUCAUUUCUUUCCCAACUUUUGCACAAACCUAUCAAGGUAACCUACUUGUGCUUCAGUUUCCCCACUGAAAAGGCAUCAUUAAGGGACUUGAACAGAAGAGAAAACUAUUUUCAUUAUUCAAGUUUGCUUCAGUUCCCAAGUAUUUGUCCUUCUUCUCACUGCAUUCCUUGUUUGAAAAAGUUAGAGAACUUGCUAUUCUGGUUCAGCUUUUCUUUUCUGUCCUCUCAUUUCCUCUAGUCCACGAUGACCUUGACCUCCUCUUUCCUUCUGAUCCUGCCAUUUCCUUUAAGCCUCGCCUUCGUCUUUCAUUCCUCUCAUUGUGAUGCUUUUAUUGUCAAGAGCUGAACUUCACACCGAGGCUACCUCAACCCACAGGCUUUGGAACAAAAGAUAACAUGGGCACUAAAAAGCACCAGGAACAAGAGACAGAAUUAGCAGGCAAGACUGCAGUGGAGUGAGAAAAGAAAGUCAACUAAAGUUAGUCCUGUGAUCACCCAGGUGAACUUGUCCCUAAGUUUCUCCUGGCCUCAAGAAACCUUUAUGAUUACAAAAACCAUCCUACUUCUUAACUUCCACUUUUCUGCUGAAUCUUUCCUUUAAGUUCCCUGGCACAAAAUGUACAACAUUCCAGAUUCUGUAGUGUAAAACAUCUAUACUGGUAACUUUAUAAGGACGCUUAAGAAAUUUUGCUGGCUGUGAACCACAAGUUAGUGACCAGACUAAAGCCAACAGUAGGCUUCAUGGCUGAGUAUCUACUUGAAUCCCAGUCUUCCCAUUCUGUGACCAAAAACACUACCCACUACCUCACCCUACCUCACACUUAAUCCUCGCAUUCCACACUCCAGAAUAUGUAAGUGCACUGAGCUUGAGUGGCAGCUCACAGGUCCAACGGGUGUUCCUGCAGCUUAGACCCAGGUGUCAAAAAGGAUGGCAGCCAUAAUCAGGCCAUCAACAAGGUAAGUCGGCAAUGUGCUAAUGCUGGUACAGUAGGACCUUGGACAGCUCUAAGCUGACAACUUCUUCCAACAAGAAGAAGUUGCCCUAUCUACCUCUCAAUGGUUUCUUCUCCUUUCUGAGAAGUAAGUCAGAAAGAUUCAUCUGGCCUGUAGCCAGAUGCAUUGUGGGUGCAUUGUGUGUGAACAGGCACUGGGAGACAUAGGGCCUUCAUGGUGAAUGUGACAGAUCCUCAGGGGAACCCAGAUCAAGAGUCUCUGGCUUAGUGGCAGGGCCCAUGUCUAGUGGGUCUUCUGCUUGUUCCGCUGGCCCUCCUCCUGAUCUAGUUUGAACAAGCCAGGUACCAACAUCAACCAAAGUUUCAUAGUGCCUAUGAAGAAGAGAAGAAGAGCUUGGAUUUCAUAUCCCGCUUUAUCACUACCCUAAGGAGUCUCAAAGCGGCUAACAAUCUCCUUUCCCUUCCUCCCCCACAACAAACACUCUGUGAGGUGAGUGGGGCUGAGAGACUUCAGAGAUGUGUGACUGGCCCAAGGUCACCCAGCAGCUGCAUGUGGAGGAGCGGAGACGCGAACCCGGUUCCCCAGAUUAUGAAUCUACCGCUCUUAACCACUACACCACACUGGCACCACACUGAAGCAGGAAAAUGAUUAAUUGAAAGAAUAUUUGUAUAAUAUACCUGUUUUCUUUUGGACAACUCAAAUCCAGCUAAACCAUUAAAACUUAAAACAACAACCUGGAACUGACAUAGAGGGAAAGCAGCCAAUCAGAUCAGGAACUGUAAAAGAAGUGCUGUUUAAUUACAAUUUAAUCAAAGGUGUUUUGUUGCUUAUUAAAAUUAAGCCAGUUUAUUGCCAGGGACAGGUGGAGAAGAGGAAGUUAAAACAACCCAUCUGCCUUUGUAAAUGAAUGCUUUUUUUAAAAAAAUCAUGGAGACAAUGGCCUUUUAAAUUUGUUUGUGG